UAGCGUCUAACGGGUGAGUAAUGCCUAGGAAUCUGCCUGAUAGUGGGGGACAACGUGUGGAAACGCACGCUAAUACCGCAUACGUCCUACGGGAGAAAGGGGGCUUUUCGGAGCUCUCGCUAACAGAUGAGCCUAGGUCAGAUUAGCUAGUUGGUAGGGUAAAGGCCUACCAAGGCGACGAUCUGUAGCGGGUCUGAGAGGAUGAUCCGCCACACUGGAACUGAGACACGGUCCAGACUCCUACGGGAGGCAGCAGUGGUGAAUAUUGGACAAUGGGCGAAAGCCUGAUCCAGCCAUGACGCGUGUGUGAAGAAGGCCUUUUGGUUGUAAAGCACUUUAAGCGGGGAGGAGGGCACCUUGGUUAAUACCCAAGAAUGUCGGACGUUACCCGCAGAAUAAGCACCGGCUAACUCUGUGCCAGCAGCCGCGGUAAUACAGAGGGUGCGAGCGUUAAUCGGAAUUACUGGGCGUAAAGCGCACGUAGGCGGCUUGUUAAGUCAAAUGUGAAAUCCCCGAGCUUAACUUGGGCAUUGCAUUCGAUACUGGCAAGCUAGAGUAUGGGAGAGGAAGGUAGAAUUCCAGGUGUAGCGGUGAAAUGCGUAGAGAUCUGGAGGAAUACCGAUGGCGAAAGCAGCCUUCUGGCCUAAUACUGACGCUGAGGUGCGAAAGCAUGGGGAGCAAACAGGAUUAGAUACCCUGGUAGUCCAUGCCGUAAACGAUGUCAACUAGUCGUUGGGCCCCUUGAGGGCUUAGUGCGCAGCUAACGCGAUAAGUUGACCGCCUGGGGAGUACGGUC
Molecule: ribosomal RNA, 796 nt
Filed under: uncultured bacterium
Lineage: Bacteria
Description: bacterial SSU rRNA
Rfam family: Bacterial small subunit ribosomal RNA
Source: RNAcentral